This 6342-nucleotide long non-coding RNA is filed under the name Mytilus galloprovincialis (Mediterranean mussel). The record is from RNAcentral. Lineage: Eukaryota; Metazoa; Mollusca; Bivalvia; Mytilida; Mytilidae.
GACAGUCCUACAGACAGUAGUUUGUAAGUUGAAAAUUUUAAAGAUGUUAUGUAAUAUUAUCUGUAUGUAGAUAUCCGAAAGGUUUGUUAGUUUUACUUCUUUUGAAAAUUAAUACUUUUGAAAAUUUGUGCCUUUGCACUCAAUGAUCAUAUAAUUAUAAAAUCAAAAUUAUUCUUGAAAAUAUAAGGUCAAAUUAGAAUAGAGGAUGUAUAAAAUUUAAACAUGUUUAUGUACUAUUGCAUAGAUCGAUAUUUACUGAGUUCUAAUUAUUCUUUACUUUGAUUGUUUUAUAGUUUUAUUUUUGUUGGAAAAAGGGGUUAGUGUUGGGUGUGUUCAAGAAAAAAAUAUUGUUUAAAAAAAAUAAUACAUAAUUUACGCAGGGUUUUUAAGAGAAAUAUGAUAAACAUUAAGGUCCAGCUCUCAGCUUACAGAGGAAGAUAAUGCUAUGUUGCAAAACAAAGUGUAUCAUGUUGCUAUUACAAACAAAUUCUAAUCUUCUAUCUCAUAUUUUUUCUUUUCCUACUGACUGUAUAUUUUUGUCAAAAUAUAUUAAAAUUUGUUCACAUUAUCAUUUUGUUUCGGAAAUCAAUUUUCUUUUACACAUCCAACACACACUACUUAAAACUUUUUAAGGGCUCACAUGGAAUAAUAUAUGUGUUGUUAAUCAAUGUGUCGGAUUUUUUUCAAAACAAAUGGAUAUAGACAAAGAAAACAAUCAUAUAUGAUUCCAUACUGCGCAUGCUUUCGUUUUUAUAUUUAUUAAAUGAUUUUUGCGAGUUUAAGGUCAUUAUAACAAAUGGACAAAAAUUGCUGUGUUUAGAGUAAAAAAACUACCCGAGUACAGACAACAUUCAUCUUCUUUGGUGGUCCAUGCAUACUCAUUUAAUAAAAAAUAUACCGAACAUUUUAUCCCAUUUACGGAUUAGUAUUAAAAGUAUUGCAUUUCAGUGAAGAAAAAUAAUAAAUGUUCAAAUAAGGCCUUCGAAAUAGUGGAAUUAAUUACUUUUUGGAGUGUCAAGAGUCGUUGGAAGUACUUUGAUAAAUUGCAUGCUUAUAUUGGUGAUUUUGAAUUGUUCAAAGUUUUGAUUUUCUACCUGUAUAUCCACAUUGCCUCAAUUCUCAUUAAGAAAAAAAAUCACACAUCUAAUUAAAUGGGCAUUUAAAAAGUCAGAAUGUGAAUAUAUAUGUUUAAAACUCUUUUAGGUCAUUUUUUAGUACAAUAAACAAAAAAACUAUGUCAAUUGGAUCUAUAUGUGACCAGCUACGACAUAUCCAGGUUAUGGAGGUAGAACGUCAUUGUGAGAAAAACGCCGUUAACUAUAUGUGACUAGCCACUUCCAGGCUUAGGAGGGUACAUUGUCUAAAAUUUGCUUUUUGUAUAUUUUUAUGUAGAAUAUUCCGAAACAAAACUUUCUUGUAUUGUUAUUAUGACAUAUUUGUUGUAAUAGCAAUGAAAGAGUCAUUUCGAAUAUCGGUAUGAAAAUGAGACUGUUCUAUGACGGCUUUAUUUUAUUGAAGGCACUAAUUUAUUAAAAUACAAAAUUAUUGUAUUUAUUGGCUCUUAGUAAUGUUCAAUAGCAUAUUUGAAUAAAAUUUCAAAGACUUAAAUUUACUACAAUACAAACAAUGCUUAGCUCUAUUUUAGAAGAUGUAAUUUAAACGUUGCUGAAAUGAAGUUAGUUUUAAAAUUUGUCAAAGUAAGCUUUAAAGAAUUUUCUUUUUUUAAAAUUCGUCUUUUAAUUUAGAUUUAUCAUGCAUGUCUCAAACAUAGAUAUGCGAGGCGUAACAGUUUAUAAGUAGGUGUUCUAUAAUGCAUUUGAUACGGUGCAUUUAUUAUGGAUAUAUUUCAGACUCGAUUUAUGAAAGAAAUUUAUAAAGCAGAGCAAUUUUUUUGUUGCUUUAAUUUUAGAACAAUGUAAUUUAAACUUGUUUGAAAUGAAGUUAGUUUAAAAUUUUGUCAAAGUAAGCUUUAAGAAUUCCUUUUUUAAUUUAGAUUUAUUAUGCAUGUCUCUAUACUUAGUAUGCGACGCGUAACAGUUUUAAGUAGGUGUUAUUAGGGAUAUAUUUCAGAUUUAAUUCAUGAAGGAAAUCUAUGAGGCAGAAAAUUUGAUUUUUUUUUGUAUCAAUUGAAAAAUGUAGAUUCAAAUAUUUUUCACUUCAAACGAUAAAGUAAAACUUCUUCAAAUUCUAUAUAUGAUGUAAAGUUCGGCGUCAGCUAAAAAGAAGCCAAGGAAAGUGUUUAUCUCUUCUUCACAAAUACGUAUUUCAUUGAAACUUCGAUAUUAUCAUGUUUAUAAUUUUUCUAACAAUGACGUUCUACCUCCAUAAGCCUGCAAAUGUCAUGGCGGGUCACAUAUAUGUGCCCUUGAAUUUUUACUAGAUAACAUUUUUGUUUCGCCUUUGGGGAUUCGUAUAUCGUCAGAUUAUCGGAUUCCAAUGGGACUUGAACUGUGCACCACUUAUUGCGGACCUGUUUUUGUAUUGCUAUAUGAGUUACAAUUUAUGACAAAAAAAGCGAAGACCCAUCCGAACAACAUCUGAUAAACAAAUUUAAUAAUACUUUUUAGAUUUUGAAUGAUUAUUUUGGCUCUCAAUAUGACGACUUCAGUUGUAUAUUAAAGAAUUUAUCCUGUUGAAUUACUUUAAAUAAGCUAAUACUAACAAUGACCACUGCCCUUUCCUCGAUCUUGAUAUCUAUAUCAUUAACGAAAGCUGAAUACUAAAAUUUAUGAUAAAGAGAUGAUUUUUCAUUUUCCUAUCGUUAAUUACGUUUUAAAGAUCGUGACGUUCCCUUGUCACCAUCUUACGGUGUUUAUAUAUCUCAACUUGUACGAUUCGCUCGUGUAUGUAACAAUGUUUUAGAUUUUAACGAGAGAAAUUUAUGUAUUACUGAAAAAUUAUUACACCAGGGUUUUCGAUAUCACAAACUAGUCAAACAUUUACUAAAUUUUAUCAUCGGAAUAAUGGCCAUCAUUCGUAAAUAUAGCUCAACAUGCAGACUUCUUAUACGUUCAGGUAUUUCAGCAUCCAAUUUUUUAUGGAAAUAUUCUUUAUAAAGCACAAGGUGUCAGUAUUCACCUAAAAACUACAAAACCGUUUGAAUAGACUUAUUAAGAGGGAUAUAGUUACGAUACUUGUGUCAGGUCAUUAAAGGUUGCUUUUUUGCGUUAUAUUGAUUCACUUAUAGGUCCUUUGCAUCUGAACUAACACAUUUAUUCAACACCAGUUGUUGGCAUGACGGGUUAUGAUCUUCUCAUAUAUGUUAUGAUGGUAAUGAUACUAAACCCUAACGGAAGGAUUGUGCCUGAUGUUAUAUGAUGAAAUCAUAAUCUUUCAGUCAGUUUAAUGAAGUUUGGAGCUGGCAUGUCAGUUAACUGCUAGUAGUCUGUUGUUAUUUAUGUAUUUUUGUCAUUUUGUUUUUUCUUUGGGUUACAUCUUCUGACAUCAGACUCGGACUUCUCUUGAACUGAUUUUAAUGUGCGUAUUGUAUGCCGUUUACUUUUCUACAUUGGCUAGAGGUAUAGGGGGAGGGUUGAGAUCUCACAAACAUGUUUAACACCGCGCUUUUUUGCGCCUGUCCCAGUCAGAAGCCUCUGGCUUGUUAGUCUUGUAUUAUUUUUAAUUUUAGUUUCUAGUGUACAAUUUGGAAAUUAGUAUGGCGUUCAUUAUCACUGAACUAGCAUAUAUUUGUUUAGGGGCCAGCUGAAGGACGCUUUCGGGUGCGGAAUUUCUCGCUACAUUGAAGACAUGUUAGUGACUUUGCUGUUGUGUUUUUUUCUAAAGUCGGGUUGGUUGUCUCUUUGGCAUAUUCCCAUUUCCAUUCUUAAUUUUAUAAUAACAAUAACUUCUACUUUUUUCCGCCCUACAGACUUGACGAAGUCUAAUGGCAAUUGGUCACGAAGUCUUGUGGCAAGUGGUCACUUUGUCUAAUGACAAAUGGUCAGUGGAUCUAGUGGCAAAUGGUCACAAAGUCUAAUUGCAAAUGACCAGUGAAUCUAAGUAGACAUGGUAACCAUUUGCCAUUAGAUUCACUGGCAAUUCGCUAUUAGACAUGGUGACCAUUUGCCUUCAGAUUCACGGGUCAUUUGCCAUUGGACAUAGUGAUCAUUUGCCAUUAGACAUAGUGACCAUUCGCCAUUAGAUCCACUGACCAUUUGCCAUUAGGUCCACUGAUCAUUUGCCACAAGACUUGGUGACCAAUUGCCAUUAGACAUAGUGACCAUUUGCCAUUAGGUCCACUGACCAUUUGCCAUUAGACAUAGUGGCCAUUUGCCAUUAGAUUCACUGACAAUUUGCCAUCCAACAUAGUGAUCAUUUUCCAUUAGAUUUACUGACCAAUUGCCAUUAGACAUGGUGACUAUUUGCCAUUAGAUUCACUGACCAUUUGCAAUUAGAUUCACUGGUCAUUUACCAUUAGACAUAGUGACCAUUUGCCAUUAGAUGCUCUGGCAAUUCGCCAUUAGACAUGGUGACCAUUUGCCGUCAGAUUCACGGGCCAUUUGCCAUUGGACAUAGUGACCAUUUGCCAUUAGACAUAGUGACCAUUCGCCAUUAGAUCCACUGACCAUUUGCCAUUAGGUCCACUACAUGUAACCAUUUGUCACAAGACUUGGUGACCAAUUGCCAUUAGACAUAGUGACAAUUUGCCAUUAGAUUCACUGGCAAUUCGCCAUUAGACAUGGUGACCAUUUGCCAUUGGACAUAGUGACCAUUUGCCAUUGGACAUAGUGACCAUUUGCCAUUAGACAUAGUGACCAUUCGCCAUUAGAUUCACUGGCCAAAAAAGCAAAAGUGUCGGACAAAAAGCAAAAUAAUCGGACAAAAAGCAAAAUAAUCGGACAAAAAGCAAAAGUGUCGGACAAAAAACAAAAUAAUCGGACAAAAAGCAAAACGGACAAAAAGCAAAAGUGUCGGACAAAAAGCAAAAUUAUCGGACAAAUAGCAAAAGCGGACAAAAAGCACCGUAUCACGCGUAUUCAUUGAUCACAAUUUUGCAUUUAAUUGGCCAGACGCUUAUAAUAUUUCACUGAUUUAACACACUCAAAAUGUGCCUUUUAAAUUUUGUCUUAAUUUCCAGGGUUAACUGGCAUUGUUUUCAUAUAAGAAUAUAACAUUGAUAAAAAAAAAUAUGGAAAUAUGCGACGGUAUAAUUGCCAAACUCGGAGGCAACUAUCCAAUAGGGCUCAAAUGACUGGCAACCGUAUAACCGCAUUUUAUUCUGUUAAGAAUUUAAAAGCUGCUUAAAUGGACUACGCUCUUUUUUUUAUUUCGCUAAAUUGGCAAAAUUUAAUAUCAUACAAACGCCUUAUCUAUUCUCUGACAAUCUCUUAAAAUCUUAUAUACUGCAGCUGUGCUAUUUGAGCAGUCAAAUUGCAUUGACUGUAUAUUUUUAUUUUUGUUGAUUACUACAAGUCCCCCCCAACUGGGGACGUAUAUCACCUUGUUUAUGACGUUGACAUGGGUGGGGGGGGGGGGGGGGGGGGGGGGGGGUUGGGGGGGGGGGGGGGGGGGGGGGGGGGAGCGUCCAGAAGAGUUCUAUGUUAUGACGUCAAUAAAACAUACAGGUUCGCUGCAAUUUUACGUUGUCCGCUCACAAUUAAAAAAUGACGGUUUUUACCCUAAAUACUUCAUUUUGAACAGUUAUAAGAGUUGCAGUAUAUAAAGAAUAACCAUACAUUGUCUCGAAAUAUCAAUCUGUUAUUUGUACUCGGCUCGAAACAGGUAGAAAUACUCGACACACCUCGCUUUCUACCUGUUUCUAAGCCUUGUACAAAUAACAUUGAUAUUUCGAGACAAUGUAUGGUUAUUCUAUAUAUGUCGUAUUGGAGCACACCUACUGAUGUAGGAUAUCUGUGAAAAAAUAUAUAAGUAAUAUAGUCCCAGAGGAUAUCAAAUAUACAUAUAGUCUCGAUAAACACUUAUAUCCUCAACAACGGUACGUUUGACUCUAAUUAAAAUAAAUACGCAUAUAUAUGUACGGUAAAUAUUAGCAGCUUGGGUAUUACAUCUAUGGUGCAAGGAAGUAUUCAAAUGUUCAUUAAAGUAGCUUGCGUCAUAGUUUUUUCGCAUCAUAUGUAACAUAUCUCUAUAGCAACUUAAAGAUGCUAAUGCUUAUUUAACAGGUCAAAUAAUUAAGCUAUUGCGCAUGUAUAUGACAGGUGGCCAUAGAAAGAACAGAUGUAUUCCGAAUAACAUCCGGUGUUCCGAAAGACUACGGACAUCGUCCAAUAUAUACUGCGUAAACCCUCAGGGGUUUACGCAAUAAGGACUAAUCAGCGUGGUAGAUUACUCUGACGCAGCCGAUGAUCGAUCCUAUCUUCUCCAUUUGAACUGAACAAUGAA